Molecule: long non-coding RNA, 271 nt
Organism: Meriones unguiculatus (Mongolian gerbil)
Lineage: Eukaryota; Metazoa; Chordata; Mammalia; Rodentia; Muridae
Exons: 3
Source: RefSeq, a predicted model, not a curated record
UGCAUGUGAAAUUCAGCCAAGAAGAGUGGGCUUUGCUGGAACCAUCACAGAAACAACUCUACAAAGAUGUGAUGCUAGAGACCUGUAAAAACCUCACUGCUAUAGGCUACAAUUGGGAAGACCAUACCAUUGAAGAACAUUUUCAAAGCUCUACAAGUAAUAAAAGGCAUGAAAGCAGUCAUAUUGGAGAGAAACCUUCUAAAUGCACUCUCUGUGGUAAAGCCUUCCCCUAUACCACUGAUCUCAUAUAGCAUAAAAGAACACACACAGG